CGUCUUUCAAAACUUCACUUUCUAAUGAGGCUCCCUCAGAGGAAUGUUUAGCAAUCCCUUCAAGUGUUAGGACUCCCAGGGACUGAGGUGGCUCUGUACCCAUCAGGGAGUCUCAGACCUCAUUUCCAGCGUGAUGAAGGCUCAGAUGAAGAGUUCCAAGAACAGAUGGGAGGCUGUCAUUACACGUUACUGAUACACAGAGCUGCUUCAGCCUCACGCAUGCCAG
RNAcentral lists this long non-coding RNA (226 nucleotides) under Capra hircus (goat). RNAcentral's name for it is "lncRNA (ENSCHIG00000001066.1)". Lineage: Eukaryota; Metazoa; Chordata; Mammalia; Artiodactyla; Bovidae. The record is from RNAcentral.